AAAUUGAAGAGUUUGAUCAUGGCUCAGAUUGAACGCUGGCGGCAGGCCUAACACAUGCAAGUCGAGCGGAAACGAGUUGUCUGAACCUUCG
Molecule: ribosomal RNA, 91 nt
Filed under: Vibrio parahaemolyticus
Lineage: Bacteria; Pseudomonadati; Pseudomonadota; Gammaproteobacteria; Vibrionales; Vibrionaceae
Description: partial 16S ribosomal RNA
Rfam family: Bacterial small subunit ribosomal RNA
Source: RNAcentral